UACGGAGGGUGCAAGCGUUAUCCGGAUUUACUGGGUUUAAAGGGUGUGUAGGCGGGCAAUUAAGUCAGUGGUGAAAUCUCCGGGCUCAACCCGGAAACUGCCGUUGAUACUAUUUGUCUUGAAUAUCGUUGAGGUAGGCGGAAUAUGUCAUGUAGCGGUGAAAUGCUUAGAGAUGACAUAGAACACCGAUUGCGAAGGCAGCUUACUAAACGAUCAUUGACGCUGAGGCACGAAAGCGUGGGGAUCAAACAGG
This 253-nucleotide unclassified non-coding RNA is filed under the name uncultured Chitinophagales bacterium. RNAcentral's name for it is "contains 16S-23S intergenic spacer region". It matches the Rfam family "Bacterial small subunit ribosomal RNA", at positions 524 to 776 of the family's 1533-position model. The record is from RNAcentral. Lineage: Bacteria; Pseudomonadati; Bacteroidota; Chitinophagia; Chitinophagales.